RNAcentral lists this ribosomal RNA (250 nucleotides) under uncultured prokaryote. RNAcentral describes it as "partial 16S ribosomal RNA". It matches the Rfam family "Bacterial small subunit ribosomal RNA", at positions 524 to 773 of the family's 1533-position model. The record is from RNAcentral.
CACGUAAGUUGCGAGCGUUGUUCGGAAUUAUUGGGCGUAAAGGGCAUGUAGGCGGCCGUGAAAGUCUGGCGUGAAAUCCAUGGGCUCAACCCAUGAACUGCGUUGGAAACUGCACGGCUUGAGUCGCUGAGGGGAAGCCAGAAUUCCGGGUGUAGGGGUGGAAUCUGUAGAUAUCCGGAAGAAUACCAAUGGCGAAGGCAGGCUUCUAGCAGACGACUGACGCUGAGGUGCGAAGGUGCGGGGAGCAAAC